This 253-nucleotide ribosomal RNA is filed under the name uncultured bacterium. RNAcentral's name for it is "partial 16S ribosomal RNA". It matches the Rfam family "Bacterial small subunit ribosomal RNA", at positions 524 to 776 of the family's 1533-position model. The record is from RNAcentral.
GACGAACCGAGCGAACGUUGUUCGGAAUAACUGGGCUUAAAGGGCGCGUAGGCGGGCCGCCAAGUUCGAGGUGAAAUCCUCCGGCUCAACCGGAGAACUGCCUCGAAUACUGGAGGCCUCGAGGCGGGUAGGGGCACGCGGAACUGUGGGUGGAGUGGUGAAAUGCGUUGAUAUCCACAGGAACUCCGGUGGCGAAGGCGGCGUGCUGGACCCGAUCUGACGCUGAGGCGCGAAAGCCAGGGGAGCAAACGGG